This 481-nucleotide ribosomal RNA is filed under the name Acanthamoeba sp. Its description in RNAcentral is "SSU rRNA". It matches the Rfam family "Eukaryotic small subunit ribosomal RNA", at positions 586 to 942 of the family's 1831-position model. The record is from RNAcentral. Lineage: Eukaryota; Discosea; Longamoebia; Acanthamoebidae.
CAGCUCCAAUAGCGUAUAUUAAAGUUGUUGCAGUUAAAAAGCUCGUAGUUGGAUCUAGGGACGCGCAUUUCAAGCGCCCGUGCCAUCGGGUCAAACCGGUGGCUGCGUUGGCGUUGCGGGCUCGGUCCGUCGGUGCCCACAAAGCAUCGGCGUGUCAACCGGCCCGCCCGUCCCCUCCUUCUGGAUUCCCGUUCCUGCUAUUGAGUUAGUGGGGACGUCACAGGGGGUCCAUGCAAAUGGCGGCGGUGGGUCUCUGGGGCCCAGAUCGUUUACCGUGAAAAAAUUAGAGUGUUCAAAGCAGGCAGAUCCAAUUUUCUGCCACCGAAUACAUUAGCAUGGGAUAAUGGAAUAGGACCCUGUCCUCCUAUUUUCAGUUGGUUUUGGCAGCGCGAGGACUAGGGUAAUGAUUAAUAGGGAUAGUUGGGGGCAUUAAUAUUUAAUUGUCAGAGGUGAAAUUCUUGGAUUUAUGAAAGAUUAACUU